Molecule: ribosomal RNA, 459 nt
Filed under: uncultured bacterium
Lineage: Bacteria
Description: SSU rRNA
Rfam family: Bacterial small subunit ribosomal RNA
Source: RNAcentral
AGAAUCAACGCUGGCGGCGUGCCUAACACAUGCAAGUCGAACGAGAAAGUGGAGCAAUCCAUGAGUAAAGUGGCGCACGGGUGAGUAACACGUGACUAACCUACCUUUUAGUGGGGGAUAACCUAGGGAAACCUGGGCUAAUACCGCAUAAUACCUACGGGUCAAAGCAGCAAUGCGCUGGAAGAGGGGGUCGCGGCCGAUUAGCUAGUUGGCGGGGUAAUGGCCCACCAAGGCAGUGAUCGGUAUCCGGCCUGAGAGGGCGCACGGACACACUGGAACUGAAACACGGUCCAGACUCCUACGGGAGGCAGCAGUGGGAAUUUUGCGCAAUGGGGGAAACCCUGACGCAGCAACGCCGCGUGGAGGAUGAAGACCCUUGGGUCGUAAACUCCUUUCGAUCGGGAAGAUAAUGACGGUACCGGAAGAAGAAGCCCCGGCUAACUUCGCGCCAGCAGCCGC